Molecule: ribosomal RNA, 253 nt
Filed under: uncultured bacterium
Lineage: Bacteria
Description: partial 16S ribosomal RNA
Rfam family: Bacterial small subunit ribosomal RNA
Source: RNAcentral
UACGUAGGGUCCGAGCGUUAAUCGGAAUUACUGGGCGUAAAGCGUGCGCAGGCGGUUUUUUAAGCCCGAUGUGAAAGCCCCGGGCUUAACCUGGGAAUGGCAUUUGGGACUGCAAGGCUGGAGUACGGCAGAGGAGACUGGAAUUCCUGGUGUAGCAGUGAAAUGCGUAGAUAUCAGGAGGAAUACCGAUGGCGAAGGCAGGUCUCUGGGCUAACACUGACGCUCAUGCACGAAAGCGUGGGGAGCAAACAGG